UGCCAGACUCCUACGGGAGGCAGCAGUGGGGAAUAUUGCACAAUGGGGGAAACCCUGAUGCAGCGACGCCGCGUGAGCGAUGAAGUAUUUCGGUAUGUAAAGCUCUAUCAGCAGGGAAGAAGAUGACGGUACCUGACUAAGAAGCCCCGGCUAACUACGUGCCAGCAGCCGCGGUAAUACGUAGGGGGCAAGCGUUAUCCGGAUUUACUGGGUGUAAAGGGAGCGUAGACGGCGAUGCAAGCCAGAUGUGAAAGCCCGGGGCUCAACCCCGGGACUGCAUUUGGAACUGUGUGGCUGGAGUGUCGGAGAGGCAGGCGGAAUUCCUAGUGUAGCGGUGAAAUGCGUAGAUAUUAGGAGGAACACCAGUGGCGAAGGCGGCCUGCUGGACGAUGACUGACGUUGAGGCUCGAAAGCGUGGGGAGCAAACAGGAUUAGAUACCCUCGUA
This 446-nucleotide ribosomal RNA is filed under the name uncultured bacterium. Its description in RNAcentral is "bacterial SSU rRNA". It matches the Rfam family "Bacterial small subunit ribosomal RNA", at positions 329 to 792 of the family's 1533-position model. The record is from RNAcentral.